CUGAAGCACCAGCUUGCUGGUGUGGAUGAGUGGCGAACGGGUGAGUAAUACGUGAGUAACCUGCCCUUGACUCUGGGAUAAGCCCGGGAAACUGGGUCUAAUACUGGAUGCUACAUGUCACCGCAUGGUGGUGUGUGGAAAGGGUUUACUGGUCUUGGAUGGGCUCACGGCCUAUCAGCUUGUUGGUGAGGUAAUGGCUCACCAAGGCGACGACGGGUAGCCGGCCUGAGAGGGUGACCGGCCACACUGGGACUGAGACACGGCCCAGACUCCUACGGGAGGCAGCAGUGGGGAAUAUUGCACAAUGGGCGAAAGCCUGAUGCAGCGACGCCGCGUGAGGGAUGACGGCCUUCGGGUUGUAAACCUCUUUCAGCAGGGAAGAAGCCACAAGUGACGGUACCUGCAGAAGAAGCGCCGGCUAACUACGUGCCAGCAGCCGCGGUAAUACGUAGGGCGCAAGCGUUGUCCGGAAUUAUUGGGCGUAAAGAGCUCGUAGGCGGUUUGUCGCGUCUGCUGUGAAAGCCCGGGGCUUAACCCCGGGUGUGCAGUGGGUACGGGCAGACUAGAGUGCAGUAGGGGAGACUGGAAUUCCUGGUGUAGCGGUGGAAUGCGCAGAUAUCAGGAGGAACACCGAUGGCGAAGGCAGGUCUCUGGGCUGUUACUGACGCUGAGGAGCGAAAGCAUGGGGAGCGAACAGGAUUAGAUACCCUGG
Molecule: ribosomal RNA, 712 nt
Filed under: Kocuria palustris
Lineage: Bacteria; Bacillati; Actinomycetota; Actinomycetes; Micrococcales; Micrococcaceae
Description: bacterial SSU rRNA
Rfam family: Bacterial small subunit ribosomal RNA
Source: RNAcentral